RNAcentral lists this ribosomal RNA (446 nucleotides) under uncultured bacterium. RNAcentral's name for it is "partial 16S ribosomal RNA". It matches the Rfam family "Bacterial small subunit ribosomal RNA", at positions 338 to 795 of the family's 1533-position model. The record is from RNAcentral.
CCUACGGGGAGCAGCAGUCGAGAAUCAUUCACAAUGGGGGAAACCCUGAUGGUGCGACGCCGCGUGGGGGAAUGAAGGUCUUCGGAUUGUAAACCCCAGUCAUGUGGGAGCAAAUUAAAAAGAUAGUACCACAAGAGGAAGAGACGGCUAACUCUGUGCCAGCAGCCGCGGUAAUACAGAGGUCUCAAGCGUUGUUCGGAAUCACUGGGCGUAAGGCGUGCGUAGGCUGUUUCGUAAGUCGUGUGUGAAAGGCGCGGGCUCAACCCGCGGACGGCACAUGAUACUGCGAGACUAGAGUAAUGGAGGGGGAACCGGAAUUCUCGGUGUAGCAGUGAAAUGCGUAGAUAUCGAGAGGAACACUCGUGGCGAAGGCGGGUUCCUGGACAUUAACUGACGCUGAGGCACGAAGGCCAGGGGAGCGAAAGGGAUUAGAUACCCCAGUAGUC